AGAGAAAUAUUAGAUUUUUCCUCAGUGUGUCAUAGAAGAGGCAAUUAUUUGUCGUCUUUUGAGCUCACAGGCAUAAAGAAAAAGUCAAGAAGUGAUGGAUUGCCAGCUAUCCCUGUCCUACUCAAUAUAUUUUGGUGGUCUUCAUCAGAUGCAGAAAGGACCAGCUUUGACCACUCUCCGCAACUUUUCGUGCUUCGAGCUGAGGGAGACACCACACUUCUCAUGAAAAGUGGAAGUAGAGCAGCCAGUGUUACAAGAAGUAAUUUCCUCUUCUUUCCAAGGUCCUCUGGGAGGAAUUUUGCAGGAAUGCAGAUUAAUACACAUCAUAAUGCACGUGAUGUAAGCUGAAAAAUUAUGUGCAGCACCCAACACAAUAUCCUGUGUUUAAGCUUCAGAAGAAAUUUUACUAUGUGGCCCAAGAAGUUCUCCAAGACU
This 435-nucleotide long non-coding RNA is filed under the name Anser cygnoides (Swan goose). Its description in RNAcentral is "lncRNA (ENSACDG00005002512.1)". Lineage: Eukaryota; Metazoa; Chordata; Aves; Anseriformes; Anatidae. The record is from RNAcentral.